CCUACGGGUGGCUGCAGUGGGGAAUAUUGCACAAUGGGGGAAACCCUGAUGCAGCAACGCCGCGUGAAGGAAGACGGUUUUCGGAUUGUAAACUUCUGUUCUUAGUGAAGAAUAAUGACGGUAGCUAAGGAGCAAGCCACGGCUAACUACGUGCCAGCAGCCGCGGUAAUACGUAGGUGGCAAGCGUUGUCCGGAAUUACUGGGUGUAAAGGGUGCGUAGGCGGACUGUUAAGUCAGCGGUAAAAGCCCGGGGCUCAACCCCGGCGAGCCGUUGAAACUGGCUGUCUUGAGAUGUCGAGAGGUAUGCGGAAUGCGCAGUGUAGCGGUGAAAUGCUUAGAUAUUGCGCAGAACUCCGAUUGCGAAGGCAGCAUACCGGCGGCGAUCUGACGCUGAGGCACGAAAGCGUGGGUAUCGAACAGGAUUAGAUACCCCAGUAGUC
RNAcentral lists this ribosomal RNA (440 nucleotides) under uncultured bacterium. Its description in RNAcentral is "partial 16S ribosomal RNA". It matches the Rfam family "Bacterial small subunit ribosomal RNA", at positions 338 to 795 of the family's 1533-position model. The record is from RNAcentral.